AUGUCCUUAGUUUAAUUGGUUAGAAUAUCAGACUCCAAAUCUGAGAGAUGUGGGUUCGACUCCUACAGGGCGUG
Molecule: transfer RNA, 74 nt
Filed under: Agathobacter rectalis
Lineage: Bacteria; Bacillati; Bacillota; Clostridia; Lachnospirales; Lachnospiraceae
Also listed under: 1 other name
Description: [Eubacterium] rectale tRNA-Trp
Rfam family: tRNA
About the family: Transfer RNA (tRNA) molecules are approximately 80 nucleotides in length.
Source: RNAcentral